GCGGGGAUGGAGUAACAGUUGGCUCGUCAGCCUCAUAAGCUGAAAAUUAGUAGGUGCAAUUCCUACCCCCGUCACCA
This 77-nucleotide transfer RNA is filed under the name Nostoc sp. FACHB-190. RNAcentral's name for it is "tRNA-Met". It matches the Rfam family "tRNA". Rfam says of the family: Transfer RNA (tRNA) molecules are approximately 80 nucleotides in length. Their secondary structure includes four short double-helical elements and three loops (D, anti-codon, and T loops). Lineage: Bacteria; Bacillati; Cyanobacteriota; Cyanophyceae; Nostocales; Nostocaceae. The record is from RNAcentral.